ACACUCCUACGGGAGGCAGCAGUGGGGAAUAUUGGACAAUGGGCGCAAGCCUGAUCCAGCCAUGCCGCGUGAGUGAUGAAGGCCCUAGGGUUGUAAAGCUCUUUCACCGGAGAAGAUAAUGACGGUAUCCGGAGAAGAAGCCCCGGCUAACUUCGUGCCAGCAGCCGCGGUAAUACGAAGGGGGCUAGCGUUGUUCGGACUUACUGGGCGUAAAGCGCACGUAGGCGGAUCGAUCAGUCAGGGGUGAAAUCCCAGGGCUCAACCCUGGAACUGCCUUUGAUACUGUCGAUCUGGAGUAUGGAAGAGGUGAGUGGAAUUCCGAGUGUAGAGGUGAAAUUCGUAGAUAUUCGGAGGAACACCAGUGGCGAAGGCGGCUCACUGGUCCAUUACUGACGCUGAGGUGCGAAAGCGUGGGGAGCAAACAGGAUUAGAAACCCCAGUAGUCCCAUGA
RNAcentral lists this ribosomal RNA (451 nucleotides) under uncultured organism. RNAcentral's name for it is "partial 16S ribosomal RNA". It matches the Rfam family "Bacterial small subunit ribosomal RNA", at positions 333 to 800 of the family's 1533-position model. The record is from RNAcentral.